This is a long non-coding RNA of Myotis lucifugus (little brown bat), 1666 nucleotides long. RefSeq lists it as uncharacterized. Lineage: Eukaryota; Metazoa; Chordata; Mammalia; Chiroptera; Vespertilionidae. The transcript has 2 exons. The record is from RefSeq and is a predicted model, not a curated record.
UUGACAGAGUUUUCUGGCAUCAUGAAAUAAUCUUUUUUUUGGUGGUUUCUCAACCGUUAGCCAGAAACAAGUGCUUCACCUUUUUUGUGUGGGCACUCCACACGAAUUGAACACUGGGCCCUCCCUUUUAAAGGUGCUUACCUAAGAUGAGCUUUGUGAGUGGAAUGCAAAGAGCCAUCGAAAGGAAUCUCAAUCGCAUUAGAGCAGAUAAGCAGUUAUCAGAUGGUUGGACUGAUCGGCUGGUUAAGUAUUUUCCUAAGGAAGCCAAGCUCCAUAGUGCCUUCGGAGCGGCUUCCCCAACUAACCGGGUGUGGCCUGCUAACUUUUGCUUUCAUUUUUUUUAUACUCAUAUUUUUUUUCUAUCAGCCGCAGCCAAGGCAGGUUUUAACUUUACAAAAUUAAAGGGCUGGGAGGUGUCCCUAUUCUGUUGCCCACCAAGGCAAUCCCUAAAUCGCUGAGUGUGAUCCCUGCUGUAAACACGGGCUCAUCUGUUUUCUAGAGUGAGGGUUUGGGACAGAGUGAGGUUAUUUGCGGAGGUUUCUUCCAAGAUACAAUCUGCCAUUUCUCAAAGUAAAAUUCCAAGGCAGAUUGCGAGCCACGGCUGAUGGGCGCCCCCGAAGUGAGAAUUCUUGUGGACUUAAAUCAAACAACAAGUCACAACCGCCCCGAAGGCAUACUCAUCAUUUUUCAUCAACUUUUUUUUUUUUUCCUUUCCGGCGAAAGACAUUCUCAGAAUUUGAAAAAGCCUAUUCACUGGACCAGUCGUAAUAUUCAUCAUAAUUAUAAAAACGACAGGGUUUUAAAAGCCAGAUGCCAGCCCAGUGAGAAAGCGCUUGCUAGGACUUGGGGCGGGAGGAGCCGGGGAGAUUUCACGUCUGCAAAGGAAGGGUAACGGGCAGGGAGAUCCUGACUCCAAUUAUAAAGCAAAGACAAAAUCCCUCGAAUCCUUUCAAUUCAUCCAUCUUCUCCGGCCAAAUUGUGUUCUUUCUCCUCCCCGCCCCCUCUCACAUUUCCAUAAACAAUAUGACUACGGGCUGAGCCCCUCGGCCAGCAAAUAAAGGCGCAGGGCUAAGUAAAUUUGCUUCCCAGCAAUUAUUUUUGUGAGGUCACGGAGUUAAGCAUUAAAAGAAAACUGCUGCGACCGAGGGUAUUCAGUAACUGUAUGAUUUGUGCUGCAAAACUGACAAAAGAACUCAGCCCCCCUUUUACUUUAUACCCACAGAAAUCAUUGACCACGGGCCUUUGUUCCCUAAAUUCACCUAAGAGGAAUCUUUCACUCGAACGCCCCUGCAUGGCCGCUAAUCCCCGCCUGCCGCCGCUUCCCAAGGAAAGUCCAUUUGAUCUGAGUCUACGCCUGCAAAUUAUCAGGAUAAUUACGAUCUUUUUUUAAAAAAUGAAAGGAAAAAUAUAAAGAAAACUCCACCAAGAUCUUUAGUAUCCAGAGCAGGAAUUAGCAAACUCUUCCUGAAAAGGGGCAGAGAGUGAGUAUUUUCAUCUUUCUGGGCCUCACGUAGGGGACUGCUCAGCUCCGUGCUGUGGAAUGAAAGCAGACAAGGACAUCACUUAGUAAGUGGUAGUGACAGCUGGGUUCCAAUAGAACUCUCUUUAUAGACACCGAAACCUGAAUGUAUGUAACUUGCACGUGUCAUAAAAACAAUACUCUUUC